GGGAACUUCCGGGCAAGCGUGGGAACGCUGCGAACUUCCUGGAGGCAAAAUUUGAGGGGGGCCAUGAGCGGAGAGUGAUUAGGGCGGAGCGGGCCGGGGAGACCCUGGGCGCCUCUUCUGAAAGCCGCUUCACACGUGCCCGGGUGAUGGGUGAUGCGUUGGGCCGAAAGAUAAGGAAAUGAAUUCAGAGAAGAUAAAUGAUUUGCCAAAAGUCAUAUGUGACAGAAAUGUAACUUGAAAUCAAAUUUGCAAUUUUCAGUUCCUGAUGUUUUUACACUAUGCUCCCAAAAUGAAUCUGUGGACAUACAUUUCCACUAGAGGCCAUGAACCAUGCCUGUAUAAGACUUAAUCAAUUCUUAAUGAAGACUAUGGUGUGUAUACUGACUGUUCCACUGACCUGCCAUCUCCACAUCUUUCUCCCUCUUCUCAGACCUCCCUAUUUCCCAAGAGACAACAGUAUUGAAAUUAGGCCAAUUCAUAACCUGCCAGUGGCCUCUAAGUGUUUAAGUGAAAGGAAGAUUCACACAUCUCUCACAUUAAAUAAAAAGCCAGAAAUGGUUGGUUAAACUUAGUGAGGAAGGCGUGUCAAAAGCUGAGACUGGCCAAAAACUAGGCCUCUUUUGAAAGUUAGCCAAGUUGUGAAUGCAAAGGACAUGUUCUCAAAAUUAAAAGUGCUACUCCAGUGAACACGUGAAUAAGAAAACAAAACAGCCUGUUGCUGAAACGUAAAAAGUCUGAGUCGUCUGGACAGAAGAUCAAACAAGUCACAACAUUCCCUUAAACCAAAGCCUAAUCCAGAGCAAAGUCCUAACUCUCUACAAUUCUGUGAGGACAGAGAGGUAAGGAAGCUGUGUAAGAAAAGUUUGAAGCUCGCAGAGGUUGGUUCAUGAGGUUUAGGGAAAGAAGUCAUCUCCAUAACACAAAAGCUCAAGGUGAAGCAGCAAAUGGCUGAUGUGGAAGCUGAAGUAAUUUAUUCAGAAAAUCUAGCUAAGAUAAUUGAUGGAGGUGGCUACACUAAACAAUAGGUUUUCAAUACAGACAGCCUUAUAUUGGAAGAAGGUGCUAUCUAGGACUUUCAAAGCUAAAGAGAGGUCAAUGCCCCAUUUCAAAGAUUAAAGGACAGGCUCACUCUGUUGUGAAGGACUAAUAUAGCUGGUAACUUUAAACGGAAAUGAAUGCUUAUUUACCAUUCUGAAAAUCCUGGGGCCCUUAAGAAUUAUGUGAAAUCUACUCUGCCUGGGAACUAUAAAUGGAACUGAGGAAAGAGACCCAGGUGUCUGGGAUCAACUUCCCUUUUGACUGCCGCACUGCAUUUCAAUAGAAGAAAAGGCUGAUCAACUGGCGCCUCGUGAUUCACCUUCCUGUAGGUGGCAGGCUUGGUCUUGGGAAAACUCUGGAAGACACUGUUUUUACUUAAAACAAGAUCAAACCCCAAACGUUUUCACAUGUGAGCCCUAAAACUAUAAACCGAAACCCUUUCAUAUGUGAUUCCUGAAGCUGUAAACCAAAACCCUUUCAUAUAUGAUUCCUGAAGCUGUAAACCGAAACCCUUUUCAGAUGUGAUUCCUGAAGCUGUAAACUGAAUCCCUUUUCAUAUGUGAUUUCUAAGGCUGUAAACCUAAGAUUCUUCCACAUGUAAU
Saimiri boliviensis boliviensis (Bolivian squirrel monkey) is the source of this 1640-nucleotide long non-coding RNA. RefSeq lists it as uncharacterized. The record is from RefSeq and is a predicted model, not a curated record. NCBI's taxonomy places the organism in Eukaryota, Metazoa, Chordata, Mammalia, Primates, Cebidae.